RNAcentral lists this unclassified non-coding RNA (830 nucleotides) under Hevea brasiliensis (rubber tree). Lineage: Eukaryota; Viridiplantae; Streptophyta; Magnoliopsida; Malpighiales; Euphorbiaceae. The record is from RNAcentral.
AAAUAUUCAUCAAGUCCUAAAGUUCUGUAACAUCGUUAUUGCUUCCAUAGUUUGCUGAUCUGAAAUGGCAAAGAGAUUCUCAACAGAAUCAUUACAGCCUAUAUAAAAACUUAUCUCUUCUUAUAAUUAUUGUCAUGUCAUUUGCAUCUCUAUAAUUAGCUCCUUUAGUGCAUGCUGGCAUUACCUUUUGACGAGUGGUGUUGAUCCUUUCCUUUGAAGUGGUCUCAAUUUUUCAUAGAUGAUUUUUUUUCCCAUUAUUUGUCAUAUUUUGCUUAUUGGGAUUUAUUACUUAUCUAAAUUAUGAGAUUACUUUCCAUUAAUCUCCCAACUUCUGAUUCUUUCUAGUAUGGUGCAAAAUGCGACUUAUAGACACAUUAUUUUCUAAAUUUGGCAUUAAUGGAGUUUGCCAAACAUGCACAUAGUUGGAAUCAAGCUUCAUGCAAUCAUCAACAUCAAUAAUGCAUAAAGAUUCCAGCUGGCUUGACAAAACCUAGUGCUUCUUUUCUAUUCUUCUUCGGCUUUUAACAAUAAAUAAAGAAUUCCUUGUUUGAUUUUUGUUUUCUUCUCACUUUUUUAGAGAUUGGAAUGAAAAAUUAUGAUUCUGGCAUUGUUUUUACUUAAAUCUUGUAUGUGAAGUAAUUAUACCUUCCUGCUUUCCUUGUAUGACUUUCAGAAAUUUUAUGCGAUGCCAGUGAACAUGUUUUGGAAGAAUCUUGUUUGCUUGGAACCAGAAACAUGAUCUUUUGUUUUUGAGUUUGCUUUUAGAGUUGCACAUUUUGUUUUCAAUGUUUAUUUUUCAAAUUUGUAUUUAUUAUUUCUAGAAAAUUGUG